This 1949-nucleotide long non-coding RNA is filed under the name Coturnix japonica (Japanese quail). RNAcentral describes it as "lncRNA (ENSCJPG00005015754.1)". Lineage: Eukaryota; Metazoa; Chordata; Aves; Galliformes; Phasianidae. The record is from RNAcentral.
CCUUUUUAUAUUCAAAAGCAAACAGAUUGGUUGGGUUUUGCUUAUAUUUCUUUAUUUUAUUUUAUUUCUACUUUUCUAAAAUUUAUUUAUUUAUUUAUUUAUUUGUUUUACUCUAAAGUAUUCUUAUUUAAAGUAUUCUUAUUUUCUGUUAACUUAGAAAGCUCUGAGGGGACGUUUGUCCCUGGAGAUUUCUGAGAAAUAUGUAGAUGUGGUACUUAGGGACAUGUUUAGUGGUCAGUGUUGAUAGAAGGUGGAUGGUUGGACUAGAUUAUCUUUGAGAUCUUUUCCAACAUUCAUGAUUCUAUGUUGAGCUCCACAAAAAGGGCUGUUUGGAGCAGCCUCAUCUUGCCUCUCAUGGGAAGAUGCCCCUCCUGAGACCUUGUAGUGGAUAUGCCAAGUAAUGGCCUGAAACAGUAAUUGAGCACCUGCUGGUAGGCAGGACCAAUCUGUGGGAGCUCAGGUGCAUGUAGUGCCCCUGAACGAAUGACCAGAUGGGGUGGAUCCUGUCUCCUCCCCUUCCCAGACCUCAUCUAUGGGUUUGCAGUGGAGUUGAAAUCAUCUAGCUGAAAUUUCCUGCCUACCUGAAGUCUUCCAAAGGUAAGUGGCUCCUUUACUUCAUUUUUGUGUCCUUGUUUGCUGCAGCCAAGUACUUUGUUACCUUGCUCUACUUUCCAUCACAUUAUGACAUUACAGCCCCUGAUGUCACAAUACUGGUACCUCUACAGUGUGCCAUGGUGCCAGAACAGUGCACAGAAGUGGAUCCAGUAUGCUCAGUGAAGAGCCAUUAUUAGCUGUGGGGAAAAAAAGACUCAAGCAAGCAUUUCAAGUGCUUGGUUGCUGUGUAUGUAUGUGUGUAUGUAUGAAAACAAACCAAAGAUGUGUUUCUGCAUUGGUUACUGUGAGUCAACAGAGAAAUUCUUGGGUUGUUUGUAGCACUCUAGGUUUGUGAUAGAAAUUUGGAGAACAAGACAGUAGAUACACAGUUGUGAAGAAAGAGCCCUGGGACUGACAAGACAUAAUAUUCACCUCAGGAACUUUAACUUCUCAGAGGUGAGAAAAGGUUGGGAAAAAAAGAAGAGAAAGAAGCAGUCUCUAAGGGAGAAAAGAAAGGAUUUAAAAUGUUAUUUUAAUGAAGAAAGAGAGGUAAGGAGAGGUAAGGAGAGGAAAAAAUCAGCUAUCAAAGAUGCUCAGAAAGACCAUAGUACAAAGCAGAGUGGGGGUUGUUAGAGAUGACAGAAGAAUAUUCAAGGUAGUUCUAAUGCUAAAUAGAGGACUCCAGGUUGAAGGAUGAGUGACAGAAAGCAGAACACAAGAGCAAAGCACUAACCUUGUGUAAGCACUGCUUCUGUGUAACUAAAUACUAAUCAUUGUUAAUCAUUGGUAUACACAGGAGAAGCAGAAGCCAGGCACAUACAGAGUCCAAUCUCAUGAAAUCUAUCCACAGAAGUGACCAAGCCUCCUUUCAGGUACCCUAGCCAUAGACAAACAGGGAAUGAUGCCAAAACUGGCUGGUGCCAUUGACAAAUACAAGAAAGUAUUAGAAGUUGGCACGGUGGGCAUAUUCAGCUAAGCCUGCUUUCUCUUUUCCCAGAGAAGAGUACUUUAAAAAAAGGAAAAAAAGUAGUCUUUGGAGAAAGACACUUUUAACAAGAUCUUUUCUGUUUGCUCCAUUCCCCUGUGAGGGUUCAGAGCACUGGAAUUUCUGUAGGCCUCUGUUUGAAAAUAAGCAGCUAAUGAAAAGGUAUGUGCAUGGCUUACUACCCUAAACUAGUCCUCUUAGAAUAUCCUGGGAUUUGCCAAAGCACUAAAUGACGUUGGCAUAGAACACUUUAAGGGAAAAGUCACCUUUAUUCUUUGCUUUUCAGUAUUUAGAAAUGUAGCUUCAGUUUCCUUUGUGUUUUUCGUAUAAAAGAAAUUCAUUUUGAAUAGAGAUGGGUCCAUUUCUUUAG